RNAcentral lists this long non-coding RNA (329 nucleotides) under Solanum tuberosum (potato). Its description in RNAcentral is "long non-coding RNA (STUB_LNC009770)". Lineage: Eukaryota; Viridiplantae; Streptophyta; Magnoliopsida; Solanales; Solanaceae. The record is from RNAcentral.
AAAAAAAUUACACUGUCAUAUAUUAUUUAAGAACAUCUAAAAUAACAUUCAUGAGAUAAUAUCUCAACAUUCCACUGAAGGAAAAAUAUACUAAGUAAAAGUUAUCCAACUUGAAAGUCUAACUAAGAUAUACUAAAUAUUAACAAAACCGAGGCAGUAAAAUAGAGGUUUCUUCUCAAAAUAUCAUUGCAAAAGCAUUUCACUAGCCAUUAGUCUUGAUUUCCCCCUUCCACAACCUGUCUAAAAGAAAGAAAAAAUUGAUUUCAUACUUUAUGAUAUCAUGAUAUACAACAACAUAUUCAAGUGUAAUUCCCCAAAUGGAAUAUGGG